Molecule: transfer RNA, 58 nt
Filed under: Echinococcus oligarthrus
Lineage: Eukaryota; Metazoa; Platyhelminthes; Cestoda; Cyclophyllidea; Taeniidae
Description: tRNA-Arg
Source: RNAcentral
GACAUAUAAGUUGACUUAUGUUACGGCCAUAAGAUAGAUAUUUGUGUAUCGUAUGUUU